CACAACCAAGCUGGCCCCAUCAGCAGCACAACAACAAUCGAUAAGGCCAGCUUUUAACUGUAAAGCUUGCGGGGGAAAAGCUGUUAUCGUUGUAUGUCAACAUUUUCACGGUUGCCACGCGAAAAGCUAACAAUUCCUGCACAGUGUGCUUUUGUGUCUGAUUCCUUUAACGCGUUCACGUUGCUAAUGGUCCAGUUGGCCUGCGUGGAGAAACCACAAAGAAAAAGAAAUAAUAAUAUUACAAAUAACUAACGCCAAUUGCAGCCGCCUGGAAAUAAGCGAAAUUCAAUAAUUGAAAAAGAAAAGGCUGAUAAGACAUAAGCCACAAAAAUCUAUAACAAUAGAACCAAAAGUUACACCAGACUUAAACAAAUGCCAAAUUUUAAAUGUUUUAUUAGACAAUUAACAAGGAGCACAUCACAAACCGUCAUUUAAACGUCCAAAGAGCAACAAUUGCACCACCGUCUAACAUAAUAAUAAAAACACAAAAAACAAACCCCCUCAAUUUAUCUGUGGCAAACAACAACCAUAAAAAAAAAGCUCUUAGCAGGCCAUGUCAAGCGGUGAGAGAGAGAGAGAGAGAAAUAGUGUGAAUGAGUGAGUGAGAAAGUGAGCAAGCACAAUUUGCAUGGGAAUGUGUGUGAAGGGAAGACUGGGACACAGCUCACCUGUUGGACUGGCUGACGUUGACCGCAUUUAAUGGCACCGCGUUUAUAGAGCAGUUCUCGAAAGUGCUGUGAAUGAAAGCAGAAAUCAAUUUAGUCGUGGGAAGGAAACUUCAAAUAUGAAUACAGGAGAACAUAAGGAGCAUGCAACGUCAGCGCAGCAUAAAGAAAAAUCACCAACAGCCCAAGAACAGCAAAAGCAACAGGAACAACAACAGCAACA
Molecule: small RNA, 888 nt
Filed under: Drosophila grimshawi
Lineage: Eukaryota; Metazoa; Arthropoda; Insecta; Diptera; Drosophilidae
Description: uncharacterized LOC122322454, transcript variant X2
Source: RNAcentral